RNAcentral lists this ribosomal RNA (373 nucleotides) under uncultured organism. RNAcentral describes it as "bacterial SSU rRNA". It matches the Rfam family "Bacterial small subunit ribosomal RNA", at positions 526 to 896 of the family's 1533-position model. The record is from RNAcentral.
CGGGGGGAGCAAGCGUUGUUCGGAUUUACUGGGCGUAAAGGGCGCGUAGGCGGCGCGACAAGUCACUUGUGAAAUCUCCGGGCUUAACUCGGAGCGGCCAAGUGAUACUGUCGUGCUAGAGUGCGGAAGGGGCAACUGGAAUUCUCGGUGUAGCGGUGAAAUGCGUAGAUAUCGAGAGGAACACCUGCGGCGAAGGCGGGUUGCUGGGCCGACACUGACGCUGAAGCGCGAAAGCCAGGGGAGCGAACGGGAUUAGAUACCCCGGUAGUCCUGGCCUUAAACGAUGAAUGCUUGGUGUCCGGGGUUAUAUAGUCCCCGGGUGCCGGCGCUAACGCAUUAAGCAUUCCGCCUGGGGAGUACGGUCGCAAGACUG